UAGACCGCCAGAGAAAUCAAGUCUUAAGCUGUAUAGCCGACCCAAAACUAACCCUCUACUGUCAAAUGGUAUAAAGACAGGUCUGAUGGGACUGGAACAUGGCCUAGCCUGGGCUCCCAAGGCCGAAGAGGAGAUCCAGGUUCAGGCUAAAUUGAGGCCGAUUGAUGACUUGUGACACCCCCGACACACUGUCUCAGCCUAUCUCCUCAGCCUACUCCAAAACCUGAUAGAAAACGUCAACUGUUAAUCAGCAAACACACUCGUUCCGUAGGGACAACAACAGGCCAGAUCAUUUAAUGGAGGACCAAGGGCAAUGGCCGGAGGUCUUCGAGGGCUUUGACAGACAAGAGAACUCUGGUGGGGAGGAUGAUCUGCUGGGUAGCUCCACACUCACCUUGGCUCCUCUUGUGGCCAGCCCCUACUCCCCCUGCCAUUCGCCACUCCCAGCCCCCCCAUCAUCCACAGAAGCAGGUAGCUGACAUGACUUACACAAAGGCCGUGACUCAAUAGCAAUUGACACACGUUUUACACUUGCCACCGGCUCAGCAGUCACUGAGUCAUGUUCUGAUAUUGAGUCAUGUCACAUGUUGUUUUUGUAACCUUCAUAAAUAGACUUUAUCCUAAAAAGAGAAACUAUUUUAAUGGAAAUGUAUUGUGUAAUUUAUUGGUUAUAUUGUGUGAGAGAAAAAAAACAACGUUUUCUUUUGAUAUUUUGAAACAUUGUAUCCAGGCCUCAUUUGCAACGCACUUGUUCCAUUUUCUGUUAUUUUGUUUAGCAACAUUUUCCAGAAUGAAAAGCUGGAACUGUCCUCCUUUGUUGCUCUAUGCCCAAUCCCUUUCCAGAGACGUGCAGCUCCUCUCAAUCCCCAAUCGGCCCUCUUUCACCUCUACAAAGUGACACAAGUUUAAAUUCAAGGGCUCAAUUCAGUCAAGCCUUCAUGAUAUUGUUAUUAUAAUAUGAUUGGCUGUGCAGUCUUCGGGGAUAUUGUUCUGAAUUCAUUUGAUUGGGUGUCAUAUUGAUAUCAAUAGCUAAAUGACCAUCCAAUUUGGAAAGACUUUCAUGCAAAUGUUAUAUA
Molecule: long non-coding RNA, 1076 nt
Organism: Oncorhynchus keta (chum salmon)
Lineage: Eukaryota; Metazoa; Chordata; Actinopteri; Salmoniformes; Salmonidae
Exons: 3
Source: RefSeq, a predicted model, not a curated record